RNAcentral lists this ribosomal RNA (465 nucleotides) under uncultured bacterium. Its description in RNAcentral is "partial 16S ribosomal RNA". It matches the Rfam family "Bacterial small subunit ribosomal RNA", at positions 338 to 795 of the family's 1533-position model. The record is from RNAcentral.
CCUACGGGUGGCAGCAGUGGGGAAUAUUGCGCAAUGGGCGAAAGCCUGACGCAGCGACGCCGCGUGAGGGAUGAAGGUCUUCGGAUCGUAAACCUCUGUCAGCAGGGAAGAACGGUCACUGUGCUAAUCAGCAGUGAAUUGACGGUACCUGCAAAGGAAGCACCGGCUAACUCCGUGCCAGCAGCCGGUGUAAUACGGAGGGUGCGAGCGUUACUCGGGAUGACUGGGCGUAAAGCGCUCGUAGGCGGUAUUUCAAGUCAAGAGUGAAAUCCCCGCGCUCAACGUGGGAACUGCCUUUGAAACUGGCAAACUGGAGUGUGUGAGAGGAUAGUGGAAUUACAGGUGUAGGAGUGAAAUCCGUAGAUAUCUGGAGGAACAUCAGUGGCGAAGGCGACUAUCUGGCACAUAACUGACGCUGAGGAGCGAAAGCGUGGGUAGCAAACAGGAUUAGAUACCCCAGUAGUC